GUGGGGAAUCUUCCGCAAUGGACGAAAGUCUGACGGAGCAACGCCGCGUGAGUGAAGAAGGUUUUCGGAUCGUAAAGCUCUUUCGUUAGGGACGAACGUGCUCUUUGUGAAUAAUGAGGAGUAAUGACGGUACCUAAAUAAGAAGCCACGGCUAACUACGUGCCAGCAGCCGCGGUAAUACGUAGGUGACAAGCGUUGUCCGGAAUUAUUGGGCGUAAAGCGCGCGCAGGCGGGAUAUCAAGUCUGUCUUAAAAGUGCGAGGCUCAACCUCGUGAGGGGACAGAAACUGGUAUUCUUGAGUGUCGGAGAGGAAAGUGGAAUUCCAAGUGUAGCGGUGAAAUGCGUAGAGAUUUGGAAGAACACCAGUGGCGAAGGCGACUUUCUGGACGAUGUCUGACGCUGAGGCGCGAAAGCUAGGGGAGCGAACGGGAUUAGAAACCCGAGUAGUCC
This 450-nucleotide ribosomal RNA is filed under the name uncultured bacterium. Its description in RNAcentral is "partial 16S ribosomal RNA". It matches the Rfam family "Bacterial small subunit ribosomal RNA", at positions 354 to 796 of the family's 1533-position model. The record is from RNAcentral.